This 846-nucleotide long non-coding RNA is filed under the name Vulpes vulpes (red fox). RNAcentral's name for it is "lncRNA (ENSVVUG00000001892.1)". Lineage: Eukaryota; Metazoa; Chordata; Mammalia; Carnivora; Canidae. The record is from RNAcentral.
AUGCCGGCCCAACAUGGCGGCCUUCUCUCCCCAGCCCACCAGCAGCACCUGAGGAGGAUGCUGGGAGAGCUGAGGGUGCACAAUGCGCAUGCUCCUGAGCCCAAAUCUCGGGAGCCCGCUGGAAUCUCACGGAGUCUGCACGGUGGCCGCCUGGGCUCAGUGGGCGGGGACUUCGCAGGAGAAGCAGCCGAGGGAAGAGCCGCAAGAUGGGUACGAGGGAUGGAGGGGUCCUGUGGGCGCGUAUCCACUAAUAGGGUGAAGAGCUGUGGUUCACUCAUACAGUCACAUAAAUCAGUUCACGUUUUCUUUGAAGCAAGUAGAAGCUCUGCAUCUUGUGAUAAGUCUCUGAAGUACAGUGGAAAUGAGAAUCUGGCAAACACCUCUAAUGAAGUAUUCUCUUAAAAUACCAAAAUGAAAUUAAAAACAAAGAAACUCUGAAAGGAUCAAGUAAUGGAACAAAAAGAUGUGCUGUUAUUGUUCCCAGAUCAAAGAACAAGAGAAAGAUACAAAAGGAAGUAAUGUAUUAAUUGAUCCAAAAUUAUUUUUCUUGUUUUCUAGGGUUUGGGAAUCUGUUUUAUCAAUACUAUGUGUGUGCGUGUGUUCUAUCAAUAAUCUUACUAUGCUAGUCACUGAAACAACAAUAGAAAUCAAGUGAUUUUAGGACUUAGGAUUUACCUGUUAAUUAUGAAGGUCAUUUGUGACUGCUUCUCUCCAGAUGGUAGGAUUAAUCAAAGAAUGAACAAGAAAUGUUUUCAGUAAAGUGCUGUUACACAUGAAUAGCAAAAUGGCCUUUCAGUCAUUUUUGUAGGAAAUAAAUUUUUGUAUUUUAAAUUUGAAUAAUGAAAU